GAUGAACGCUGGCGGCGUGCCUAAUACAUGCAAGUCGAGCGAACGGACGAGAAGCUUGCUUCUCUGAUGUUAGCGGCGGACGGGUGAGUAACACGUGGAUAACCUACCUAUAAGACUGGGAUAACUUCGGGAAACCGGAGCUAAUACCGGAUGAUAUUUUGAACCGCAUGGUUCAAAAGUGAAAGACGGUCUUGCUGUCCCUUAUAGAUGGAUCCGCGCUGCAUUAGCUAGUUGGUAAGGUAACGGCUUACCAAGGCAACGAUGCAUAGCCGACCUGAGAGGGUGAUCGGCCACGCUGGAACUGAGACACGGUCCAGACUCCUACGGGAGGCAGCAGUAGGGAAUCUUCCGCAAUGGGCGAAAGCCUGACGGAGCAACGCCGCGUGAGUGAUGAAGGUCUUCGGAUCGUAAAACUCUGUUAUUAGGGAAGAACAUAUGUGUAAGUAACUGUGCACAUCUUGACGGUACCUAAUCAGAAAGCCACGGCUAACUACGUG
This 497-nucleotide ribosomal RNA is filed under the name uncultured bacterium. Its description in RNAcentral is "partial 16S ribosomal RNA". It matches the Rfam family "Bacterial small subunit ribosomal RNA", at positions 28 to 507 of the family's 1533-position model. The record is from RNAcentral.